This is a long non-coding RNA of Callorhinchus milii (elephant shark), 80 nucleotides long. RefSeq lists it as uncharacterized. The record is from RefSeq and is a predicted model, not a curated record. Lineage: Eukaryota; Metazoa; Chordata; Chondrichthyes; Chimaeriformes; Callorhinchidae. The transcript is spliced from 2 exons.
UCAGGUCACGACUCGAGUGGCCACCGAUUUGUAGACAAGUGAGAGGUUCUUGAACUCGAUCUGAUCUGUGAGAUAACAGA